This 321-nucleotide ribosomal RNA is filed under the name Triticum aestivum (bread wheat). RNAcentral describes it as "partial small subunit ribosomal RNA". Lineage: Eukaryota; Viridiplantae; Streptophyta; Magnoliopsida; Poales; Poaceae. The record is from RNAcentral.
AUGCCACGUGCUGAUGGUCCCUUUAAGGUGUUAGAGAAAAUAAAUGAUAAUGCAUAUAAACUUGAGCUGCCUGCAGAUUUUGGGGUUAGUCCCACUUUUAACAUUGCAGAUUUGAAGCCUUAUUUGGGUGAGGAAGAUGAACUUCCGUCGAGGACGACUUCAUUUCAAGAAGGGGAGGAUGAUGAGGACAUCAAUACAAUUGUUACACCCACAGCCCCUACUGUUACAUAUACUGGACCAAUUACUAGAGCUCGCGCACGCCAAUUAAAUUAUCAGGUACUUUCGUUUCUUGGUAAUGAUUCUAAUGUCAUGAGAAUAUGA